This 392-nucleotide ribosomal RNA is filed under the name uncultured bacterium. RNAcentral describes it as "partial 16S ribosomal RNA". It matches the Rfam family "Bacterial small subunit ribosomal RNA", at positions 523 to 918 of the family's 1533-position model. The record is from RNAcentral.
AUACGGAGGAUCCGAGCGUUAUCCGGAUUUAUUGGGCUUAAAGGGUGCGCAGGCGGCCAUUUAAGUCAGCGGUUAAAUCGUGGGGCUCAACCCCAUUCUGCCGUUGAUACUGGGUGGCUUGAUUGCGGUCGAGGUUGGCGGAAUUCGUUGUGUAGCGGUGAAAUGCAUAGAUAUGACGAAGAACACCGAUUGCGUAGGCAGCUGACCAGACCGCAAAUGACGCUCAUGCACGAAAGUGCGGGGAUCGAACAGGAUUAGAUACCCUGGUAGUCCGCACAGUAAACGAUGAAUACUUGUUUUCGGCGAUAUAACGUCGGAGGCAAAGCGAAAGCGAUAAGUAUUCCACCUGGGGAGUACGCCGGCAACGGUGAAACUCAAAUGAAUUGACGGGG